UCCGGAGGGGACUAGCGUUGUUCGGAAUUACUGGGCGUAAAGCGCACGUAGGCGGAUUCGUGAGUCAGGGGUGAAAUCCCGAGGCUCAACCUCGGAACUGCCUUUGAUACUGCGAAUCUCGAGUCCGGAAGAGGUGAGUGGAAUUCCUAGUGUAGAGGUGAAAUUCGUAGAUAUUAGGAAGAACACCAGUGGCGAAGGCGGCUCACUGGUCCGGUACUGACGCUGAGGUGCGAAAGCGUGGGGAGCAAACAGG
RNAcentral lists this ribosomal RNA (253 nucleotides) under uncultured bacterium. Its description in RNAcentral is "partial 16S ribosomal RNA". It matches the Rfam family "Bacterial small subunit ribosomal RNA", at positions 524 to 776 of the family's 1533-position model. The record is from RNAcentral.